CGCCUUGGGAGGUGGAACAGAGCGGGGACACUGAGGCCCCCCAGAGGCCUGGCUCUUUCCCAUUCCUCAUUUCCUCCUUGGUGGUCCUGGUGGCAGGACUGACUCCAUAAACGUGUGACCUACACCUGUUUUAAUGCUCUGCAGUCACCAUCUUGAAAUUCUUCAAAUUUUUGAACCAGGGGCUCUGCAUUUUCAUUUUGCCCUGGGUCCUGCAAACUGGGUAGCUGGUCCUGCCUGGUGGCUUACAUCUGGGAGAGAGGCAGCUAUGAGUGAUGAGAGCCAAAUGAACCCUGUCCUCUGGCCAAGCUGGACUCAUGGUUUCUCCUCUGAGCGCAGCAGAAGAUGCAGGCACAGUGGAGCUUUUAUCAGAGUCCUUGUGACUGACAAUGGCUCAUGGCGGGGAAGGCUCUAGGGGCCAGCUGGUGGCUCUCCCACCCACCCCUGGCACAGGCUUACCCAGCUUCUUUGUGAAUUCUGUCAGGGACAAGAAAGGAUCCAUUUCAUUGUUGAAUCUAACUGUAACUGUCCCUCAUUCUUGUGGAGUGUUUGACGUUCUCUGAACCUUUUCAUAAGGAUUAUCUCACUGCGUUGUCACCAACCCUCUGUGCGACAGGCAUUUUCUAAGGAGUAGAAAUUGAGGAAACGAGAACUUCCAGAUUGGCAGCCCUCGCUGCCUCCACUCAGCCUCCCCCUUCCUUCGCUCAGGGAUUGAAAUCUGAUGUCAUCCAGGAAGUCCUUCAGCCGAUCAUAGGAGAAGGAAGAGCACCUUAAUUCUUUGUACUAAAUUAUUUUUCCCCUGGGCUGUAGGUAAUUUAACACCUUCUUUUCAUAUGUGCUUCAUUUUGAAUCACCGUCACAAGAAGGGCAUGAACUAAACAGCCUUUGGAUGGAUCGAAUCUGGUUUUAAAUGUGUCCAACUUCUGUUUAAAGAUGGAUGAAGCAGAAUCACAGAAUCUCCCUCCCCUAGUGCCCAAAGGAAUAAUGCAGAAAUUCAAAAAUGAAACAGAAACACAACCACCUCAAAUGAAUCAAUCACACAAGAACAUUCACUUUAAAAAGUGCCAAAGGAAGCUUCUAGAACCAUGGAACCAUGCCAAAUGGAAGCUUCUAGAACCACGUGGCUUUGUUCCACCCCUGAUUGUGGAACUAUGUCCAUCGAGAUAAUCCUGAGCACUUCACCGAUGCCUUCCCAUCCAGAGUGCAGCCACUUGAGGGAAUGGAACCGAGGGCAAGGAACCGAGGACCUGAGUGGGCAGGAAGGGCUAUCCUUGGCUCGCCGUCUUCCUGGUCCCUACUUCCUUCCUUGUCCCUCAAAUGUCCAUCAGCUGAUCCUGACACAGUCUUAAGUAAUUGGUGAAAAACUGAAGAUAAGACCCUUGUCAGGAAGUUUUGCAUCAAAAAUGAAACACAGGAAUGAAGAUGCAGCAAUUCAUAAUUUGAGGAGGCAUCCCAGCUCCAUGAUUUCUCAAAGACACCGUGAAGACACAGCUGCUAUCAUUACAAGGAUGGCCCAGUGUUCUCUUGCCCACGGAGAGCAGACUGUUGGAACAUUUACCAGUAUACAACCAGUAUACCAGUAUCUCCACCAUACCAUGGGGGAGAAUGGGGAAGGAGCAGAGGAAAGAGAAACCAAAGAAGGAAGCACAGUGUUUUUUCAUUUGGUUUUUCUGUUUGCCCUCAGCAUCCAACCGCCAUGGUGUGCUCUGAGUACAUGUCCACAGAAGCUCAUGCCAAAAUAUCUCCAGAAACACACAAACACCCCAUCCCCACCACUAAGAAGUAAAAGCACUUUAC
Molecule: long non-coding RNA, 1794 nt
Organism: Canis lupus familiaris (dog)
Lineage: Eukaryota; Metazoa; Chordata; Mammalia; Carnivora; Canidae
Exons: 3
Source: RefSeq, a predicted model, not a curated record